GGCUAUAUAGCUCAGUGGUAGAGCAUCUGCUUUGCAUGCAGAAGGUGGCAGGUUCAUUCACCAGGCAGUGUAAGUUA
Podarcis lilfordi (Lilford's wall lizard) is the source of this 77-nucleotide non-coding RNA. The record is from the annotation of a GenBank genome assembly. NCBI's taxonomy places the organism in Eukaryota, Metazoa, Chordata, Lepidosauria, Squamata, Lacertidae.